This 71-nucleotide transfer RNA is filed under the name Salmo salar (Atlantic salmon). It matches the Rfam family "tRNA". Rfam says of the family: Transfer RNA (tRNA) molecules are approximately 80 nucleotides in length. The record is from Rfam by way of RNAcentral. Lineage: Eukaryota; Metazoa; Chordata; Actinopteri; Salmoniformes; Salmonidae.
UCCCGUGUGGCUCAGUUGGUAGAGAAUGGCACUUGUAAUGCCAGAGUUGUGGGUUUGAUCCCUACGGGGAA